This 301-nucleotide ribosomal RNA is filed under the name uncultured bacterium. Its description in RNAcentral is "partial 16S ribosomal RNA". It matches the Rfam family "Bacterial small subunit ribosomal RNA", at positions 509 to 809 of the family's 1533-position model. The record is from RNAcentral.
CAGUAGCCGCGGGAAAACGUAGGGUGCGAGCGUUAAUCGGAAUUACUGGGCGUAAAGCGUGCGCAGGCGGUUGUGUAAGACAGAUGUGAAAUCCCCGGGCUUAACCUGGGAACUGCAUUUGUGACUGGCGGGCUAGAGUAUGGCAGAGGGGGGUAGAAUUCCACGUGUAGCAGUGAAAUGCGUAGAGAUGUGGAGGAAUACCGAUGGCGAAGGCAGCCCCCUGGGCCAAUACUGACGCCCAUGCACGAAAGCGUGGGGAGCAAACAGGAUUAGAUACCCCGGUAGUCCCUGUCUCUUAUCC